GAGUGUUACAGCUCUUUUAGAAUUUUUCUAGCUGGCUUUCUGAUCUUUAC
This 50-nucleotide small nuclear RNA is filed under the name Pongo abelii (Sumatran orangutan). It matches the Rfam family "U7 small nuclear RNA", at positions 1 to 50 of the family's 62-position model. From Rfam's summary of the family: Animal histone pre-mRNAs are spliced by a different mechanism than nuclear pre-mRNAs and self-splicing introns. This processing involves the U7 snRNP, which contains only one RNA species: U7. Lineage: Eukaryota; Metazoa; Chordata; Mammalia; Primates; Hominidae. The record is from RNAcentral.